AUAAGAUAGAUGCAACUAUCGCCACAAUCGUGGAGCAGAGUUUUUCCUCAGUUCUGAAUGAGUUGUUCGUGUAAACAGUUUCUUUGUUGAACGGAAUAAAUAAAAAUGUGUUGUGUUUGCUCAUUGAUAUGCAAGGUGAUAAGUGGGCUGUUUUCCCUACUUUUCCUCGUGGCCAUUGUAUUACUAAUAUUGUGGGCUGUUGGAGUUAUCUUCACUUAGCAUAGAACCGAAUCAAACAUGACACGAGACUGAGAAAAUGUUGAUUGUGAGAGUGUUAAAAAAUAUUAGGAACAUCAAAAUGAAUUCAAUUAAGUUUUCGAUUUAAUAAAUAUAAAAAAAGUAAUUUAACACCAUCAAUAAAAA
Leptidea sinapis is the source of this 363-nucleotide long non-coding RNA. RefSeq lists it as uncharacterized. NCBI's taxonomy places the organism in Eukaryota, Metazoa, Arthropoda, Insecta, Lepidoptera, Pieridae. The transcript has 3 exons. The record is from RefSeq and is a predicted model, not a curated record.